UACGUAGGGAGCAAGCGUUGUCCGGAAUCAUUGGGCGUAAAGCGCGCGUAGGCGGCCCUGUAAGUCCGUUGUGAAAGUCAAAGGCUCAACCUUUGAAAGCCGAUGGAUACUGCAGGGCUAGAGUCCGGAAGAGGCGAGUGGAAUUCCUGGUGUAGCGGUGGAAUGCGCAGAUAUCAGGAGGAACACCAAUAGCGAAAGCAGCUCUCUGGGACGGUACUGACGCUGAGACGCGAAAGCGUGGGGAGCGAACAGG
RNAcentral lists this ribosomal RNA (253 nucleotides) under uncultured bacterium. Its description in RNAcentral is "partial 16S ribosomal RNA". It matches the Rfam family "Bacterial small subunit ribosomal RNA", at positions 524 to 776 of the family's 1533-position model. The record is from RNAcentral.